Molecule: non-coding RNA, 308 nt
Organism: Epinephelus lanceolatus (giant grouper)
Lineage: Eukaryota; Metazoa; Chordata; Actinopteri; Perciformes; Serranidae
Source: RefSeq, a predicted model, not a curated record
GUGGCGGCAAUGGCAGUAAGAAAGGGGGGCCAGGGGAACAUGGAUCCCAAGGACGUGAGCACGACAAAGAGGGAAAGGGAGGACACAUGAAACGGCCCGAUGGCAGUGGGAGGGCUGGUCAUCAGGGUGAUCAUGGUCAUCAUGAUCAUCACGGUGGUCACGGUGGUCACGGUGGUCACUGUGGUCAGGGGCAUGGUGGUCAAGGUGGCCACAGUGGUUGUGGCGGUCACAGUUGAAUGAUGAAGAAACUCUCAAUACACCGUUCUGAUUGUAAAGAAUAAAAUCCAUCUCUAAUAAACGAAUACAGA